RNAcentral lists this ribosomal RNA (1381 nucleotides) under Campylobacter jejuni. RNAcentral's name for it is "partial 23S ribosomal RNA". It matches the Rfam family "Bacterial large subunit ribosomal RNA", at positions 1556 to 2925 of the family's 2925-position model. The record is from RNAcentral. Lineage: Bacteria; Pseudomonadati; Campylobacterota; Epsilonproteobacteria; Campylobacterales; Campylobacteraceae.
GAAAGGCUUUUUGAAGUCUUCGGAUGGAUAGAAGAACCCCUGAUGCCGUCGAGCCAAGAAAAGUUUCUAAGUUUAGCUAAUGUUGCCCGUACCGUAAACCGACACAGGUGGGUGGGAUGAGUAUUCUAAGGCGCGUGGAAGAACUCUCUUUAAGGAACUCUGCAAAAUAGCACCGUAUCUUCGGUAUAAGGUGUGGUUAGCUUUGUAUUAGGAUUUACUCCGAAAGCAAGGAAACUUACAACAAAGAGUCCCUCCCGACUGUUUACCAAAAACACAGCACUCUGCUAACUCGUAAGAGGAUGUAUAGGGUGUGACGCCUGCCCGGUGCUCGAAGGUUAAUUGAUGGGGUUAGCAUUAGCGAAGCUCUUGAUCGAAGCCCGAGUAAACGGCGGCCGUAACUAUAACGGUCCUAAGGUAGCGAAAUUCCUUGUCGGUUAAAUACCGACCUGCAUGAAUGGCGUAACGAGAUGGGAGCUGUCUCAAAGAGGGAUCCAGUGAAAUUGUAGUGGAGGUGAAAAUUCCUCCUACCCGCGGCAAGACGGAAAGACCCCGUGGACCUUUACUACAGCUUGACACUGCUACUUGGAUAAGAAUGUGCAGGAUAGGUGGGAGGCUUUGAGUAUAUGACGCCAGUUGUAUAUGAGCCAUUGUUGAGAUACCACUCUUUCUUAUUUGGGUAGCUAACCAGCUUGAGUUAUCCUCAAGUGGGACAAUGUCUGGUGGGUAGUUUGACUGGGGCGGUCGCCUCCCAAAUAAUAACGGAGGCUUACAAAGGUUGGCUCAGAACGGUUGGAAAUCGUUCGUAGAGUAUAAAGGUAUAAGCCAGCUUAACUGCAAGACAUACAAGUCAAGCAGAGACGAAAGUCGGUCUUAGUGAUCCGGUGGUUCUGUGUGGAAGGGCCAUCGCUCAAAGGAUAAAAGGUACCCCGGGGAUAACAGGCUGAUCUCCCCCAAGAGCUCACAUCGACGGGGAGGUUUGGCACCUCGAUGUCGGCUCAUCGCAUCCUGGGGCUGGAGCAGGUCCCAAGGGUAUGGCUGUUCGCCAUUUAAAGCGGUACGCGAGCUGGGUUCAGAACGUCGUGAGACAGUUCGGUCCCUAUCUGCCGUGGGCGUAAGAAGAUUGAAGAGAUUUGACCCUAGUACGAGAGGACCGGGUUGAACAAACCACUGGUGUAGCUGUUGUUCUGCCAAGAGCAUCGCAGCGUAGCUAAGUUUGGAAAGGAUAAACGCUGAAAGCAUCUAAGCGUGAAGCCAACUCUAAGAUGAAUCUUCUCUAAGCUCUCUAGAAGACUACUAGUUUGAUAGGCUGGGUGUGUAAUGGAUGAAAGUCCUUUAGCUGACCAGUACUAAUAGAGCGUUUGGCUUAUCUUUAAUAAAGCAU